CGGACGGGUGAGUAACGCGUGGGUAACCUGCCCUGUACAGGGGGAUAACAAUCAGAAAUGACUGCUAGUACCGCAUAAGACCACAGCACCGCAUGGUGCAGGGGUAAAAACUACCGGUGGUACAGGAUGGACCCGCGUCUGAUUAGCUGGUUGGUGAGGUAACGGCUCACCAAGGCGACGAUCAGUAGCCGGCUUGAGAGAGUGAACGGCCACAUUGGGACUGAGACACGGCCCAAACUCCUACGGGAGGCAGCAUG
Molecule: ribosomal RNA, 257 nt
Filed under: uncultured bacterium
Lineage: Bacteria
Description: partial 16S ribosomal RNA
Rfam family: Bacterial small subunit ribosomal RNA
Source: RNAcentral